CGAACCGUGGCUUAGCGGUCAGAGCGUCGGGCGCGAACCCUGAAGACGCAGGUUCGAAUCCUGCCGGUUCCG
Non-coding RNA from Maniola jurtina (meadow brown), 72 nucleotides. The record is from the annotation of a RefSeq genome assembly. NCBI's taxonomy places the organism in Eukaryota, Metazoa, Arthropoda, Insecta, Lepidoptera, Nymphalidae.